Molecule: long non-coding RNA, 1185 nt
Filed under: Linum usitatissimum (flax)
Lineage: Eukaryota; Viridiplantae; Streptophyta; Magnoliopsida; Malpighiales; Linaceae
Description: long non-coding RNA (LUSI_LNC004721)
Source: RNAcentral
CUCUCUCUCUCUCUCUCUCUCUCUCUCUCUCUCUCUCUCUCUCUCUCUCUCUCUCUCUCUCUCUCUCUCUCUUUCCCUCUUUCAUUGAUCUUCUUAACGUUGAAUCCACAAGCUCAAAAUGUUUUUAUCUAAUAAAAAAGUACAAACCUUUUGUUGAUUUUUCUUUCUGGGAAAUUGUUAGUCUGUUCAGUCUUCUGUGUCUCAUGUUUCCUUUUUACUGAUUUGCUUGUUUGUUUCCCAGAUAGGGAGUCUAAAGAUCUAAUUCCAUAAGGAUGUAAUGUUUCUUUCUUCUUUUGAGGGGGUUAUUAACUAAUGGUUUUAAUCUUAUGUUUCUAUAAGAGAAGUACUGAUGAUUUCCUUUGAUCCAAUCUGCUCAGAAGCAAUAACUCCUAGCUAGCCAACUGAUGGGACUGAAGGAGCCCUUGGCUAACAAUCUUAUGUGCUAAUCAAGUUUAAGCUAUGCUUAUAAGAACUGAUUGAUUGUUUUCUUAUUUAUGGACAUAAAAAGGUUGAUUGUUUUUUAUUUAUUUACUUGGAGUUUUCAUGACUGCAACUUGCAAGUUUCAGAAAGGCCAGUACCAAGUACUACUUACUAUAACUACAACUACAUACUAUUUUAAGGUCACAUUCUCGUACAGUUGUGACAACUGGAGGUUGAUUGGUUCAGUUUGUUUUUGCAGUUACUAUCAGAGAGUAGUCAUUCUUUAAGUUCAUAUACAACUAGACUUUAAAGGAUAGGAUUAAUCAAAUGUUAUUCCAAUGACAUUGAGACCCAAUUCGAGUUUUAUUCUUAGCUGAUAUGUUCGUCUUACCUCAAACUACUAUGAAGAAAACUUUGUUGCCUAAUACGUCGUUACUAAUUGGACUUGCAUUUAUUGUGAAGGUUUUUUCUCUCUUUUAUCUUCCAUUUCUAAUGUUGGUUUUUUUAUCUCUUUGAUCUUGUUGCAUAUACUCCAAGUAUCUCUAUAGUUCCAUAGAUUUAUACUCCGAGUUGAUUCUUUAUAAAUCUAUGUUUCUGACAUUUCCUAUUUUAAUGCUUUAGAGUGUGUACUUGUGAAUAGCUAUUGUUAUUUGGUUGUCCUUUAACAAUAUAUUAAUUAGGCCAGGUUGUUUGGUUUUACAUACAUUUAUAUCUCUUCUAACGAGGAUCCAAUUUCCUUGUUGAUUGAUGAAUCCUUUUGNNNN